CAAGACCUUGCGCUUUUGGAGCGGCCGAUGUCUGAUUAGCUAGUUGGUGAGGUAAAGGCUUACCAAGGCUUCGAUCAGUAGCUGGUCUGAGAGGACGACCAGCCACACUGGGACUGAGACACGGCCCAGACUCCUACGGGAGGCAGCAGUGGGGAAUUUUGGACAAUGGGGGAAACCCUGAUCCAGCCAUGCCGCGUGAGUGAAGAAGGCCUUCGGGUUGUAAAGCUCUUUCAGCCGGAACGAAACGGUCACGGUUAAUACCCGCGAUCACUGACGGUACCGGAAGAAGAAGCACCGGCUAACUACGUGCCAGCAGCCGCGGUAAUACGUAGGGUGCGAGCGUUAAUCGGAAUUACUGGGCGUAAAGCGUGCGCAGGCGGUUUUGUAAGUCAGAUGUGAAAUCCCCGGGCUCAACCUGGGAACU
This 424-nucleotide ribosomal RNA is filed under the name uncultured Nitrosospira sp. RNAcentral describes it as "bacterial SSU rRNA". It matches the Rfam family "Bacterial small subunit ribosomal RNA", at positions 207 to 622 of the family's 1533-position model. Lineage: Bacteria; Pseudomonadati; Pseudomonadota; Betaproteobacteria; Nitrosomonadales; Nitrosomonadaceae. The record is from RNAcentral.